This is a long non-coding RNA of Helianthus annuus (common sunflower), 605 nucleotides long. RefSeq lists it as uncharacterized. The record is from RefSeq and is a predicted model, not a curated record. The transcript has 4 exons. NCBI's taxonomy places the organism in Eukaryota, Viridiplantae, Streptophyta, Magnoliopsida, Asterales, Asteraceae.
CGAUCGUACAGGGGCAGAAGGCAAGGUGAAACCCUAGUUUCACCAACUUCAUCAAAUUCAGUAGGAAUCUCAAUGAAAAUCGGAUGCAUGAACCUCAAUUUGCAAACAUCUAACCUUGUUCAGUAAAGUGGUAUGACAUAGAUGGGAAACAACGGGUCACAAGGAUGGCAUGGAAGACAACACCUCUAUGGGAAAAGGUUAUGUAUGUCGGACUUUCGAAGUGUUGAUAUAGAAAUAAAACGAUUGAAUGAUGGAAGGUUAAUUGGGUGGAAGUAACUUAUGCGGUUAGAAUACGCUAUGGACGUUUUAGUUUAUACAAUAUUUUAUGCUUGGUCGUCAUCAUCUACUAACGGGUAAAUCCUCAAUUUAGGCGACUUGGAGAAUCGGAGCGAGCGCGUGUUCAUGUUAUGUCAUACCAAAUGCUUCCGCUAGCUUGUCCAAAUGUUUUUGGUCCAACAAUUUUUGUAAUGGUUUUUAGUAGUAUUUUGUUGAACGAAUUGUAGAAUUGUAUCUAGUUUGAUUAUGAUUAAAACAGGGGUAUGCCCGUUUUACGGACGGGUCAUGCCCAAAUUUUGUUAAAAUUAAUGCAUAUGUUAUUGAUAUCA